UUUAUUAUACAUUUUUAUCAUGAGUUGUCAAAAGAUUGAGAUAAGAAAUUUGUAUUUAGUGUGAUUGUUGGAUUUAUUUGUCACUUAGUUACUUAUAAAACUAAUUUUUUUUAAAAAAUCAGAUUACAUUUUUCUUAAUAUGUGUUAAUGCCUAAUAUCUCCUUCAUUUAAUUAAUUAUUUUUCAAUAUCAAUAAUUAUUUCUUAUAUUUUCAAUAAUAAGUUUUUAUCUCUAAUAUUAUUAUGAAUUAUAUUUUGAAAAUCUUAAGUUUGCUUUGCUUUUAUUUUUGGAAUUUAUAAAAUCCAUGUUAAAAUAUUCUAAUUGUUUUGUUUACAGCUACUUUUCACUACCAAAACACAAAGAACCACUUCCAGAAGUUGUAGAGUUUCCUACAUUAUGCAAGCUUUUGUAUUUGCAUAAUAAUUUGCUUGAUAGUGUAGCUGUUAAAAAGUUCAAACCAUUAUCAGAGCUAACAUGAAAGCAUCUGAUAGAGUUGUUUAAAUUAGGGUAUACCGCAGUUUUUGCAAGACAGAUGUUGCAAAUAAAAUUAAAGCUUCAUAUUAAUGAAGAUUAUGAAGAAGCAUGUGUGGACAGUUCUAAGCUACCAUCAUUAUCUGUCAUAAAUCACUUGCCGAAUAAUAAAUUUACGAAAAUCUAUGGGUGAUGAAAAAAAAGUGAUAUCAUCAGAGAAAUUGAAAAAUAUUUUUUUCUUACAAUCAGCAACCAUUCUGUAAAGCUGCUUUUUCAAAAGAAAAGAACAGUUUGGCAAUUGUUAUAGUGACUCUGAUAAUGAUGCGAAGUAUGGAUUUUCUUGGUUCAAGAUAGAUAAUGGUUGAUGCAUCUGGCCACAUGGACAGAUUAAAUCGUCGUGUUUACUUUUUUAUGUCUCCAGGUGUAGCUGGAGGAGAACAUAUUGGGUGCAUCAUCACAAAUACAGAAGAAACUAUUGUUUUUCAUGAAGGAGUGGAAAUUCUUUGUGAGUGUUUUCCUGAAAAAUGUUUUUUAUUUGCAAAAUGGGCCACUGAUUGUAAUGGCAGAUGAUGAUCUAAAAGAAAGAGAACUUACUUUGUCAGUUUCAUGUGUUGAAAGCAGUCUGGUCUGGUUUAGUUGAAGAAAGUGUCAAAUGGAAGUUUGAAAACUCAUACAUUCAUCUUUAAUAAUAUGCUAGAAUCUAUUCUCUAGAAAAUUCUAUAAGAUAGUUUCAAUAUGAAAAGGGGUUUUAAAUCUUAACUACUUAAGCAGAAUUUUGAUGUGCAGCAGAAGGAGAGGCAAUCAAAUACCUGUCCAACCUAUAGUAAUUUCAAGAAGAAAAUCAAUUUAUAGUGGAAGAAAAACUAAAGUUAAUGGAAGACCAGUGAAGCGAGUAUUAUCACCUGUCUUAAAAGAACAUGCAUGUGGAAUUUUCUCUGAGUUACCUAAAAAUCAUCCAAAAAUAAAGCAUAGUUUGACACACUG
Long non-coding RNA from Argiope bruennichi, 1454 nucleotides. RefSeq lists it as uncharacterized. The transcript is spliced from 2 exons. The record is from RefSeq and is a predicted model, not a curated record. NCBI's taxonomy places the organism in Eukaryota, Metazoa, Arthropoda, Arachnida, Araneae, Araneidae.